GGGGGCAUGGCGAAAUUGGUAGACGCAGCGGACUUAAAAUCCGCAGGCCGUAAGGCUGUGGGGGUUCAAGUCCCCCUGCCCCCA
RNAcentral lists this transfer RNA (84 nucleotides) under Cyanobacteria bacterium bin.51. RNAcentral's name for it is "tRNA-Leu". It matches the Rfam family "tRNA". From Rfam's summary of the family: Transfer RNA (tRNA) molecules are approximately 80 nucleotides in length. Their secondary structure includes four short double-helical elements and three loops (D, anti-codon, and T loops). Further hydrogen bonds mediate the characteristic L-shaped molecular structure. tRNAs have two regions of fundamental functional importance: the anti-codon, which is responsible for specific mRNA codon recognition, and the 3' end, to which the tRNAs corresponding amino acid is attached (by aminoacyl-tRNA synthetases). tRNAs cope with the degeneracy of the genetic code in two manners: having more than one tRNA (with a specific anti-codon) for a particular amino acid; and 'wobble' base-pairing, i.e. permitting non-standard base-pairing at the 3rd anti-codon position. The record is from RNAcentral. Lineage: Bacteria; Bacillati; Cyanobacteriota.